ACGAACGCUGGCGGCAUGCCUAACACCUGCCAGUCGCACGAGACCUUCGGGUCUAGUGGCGCCCGGGUGCGUAACGCGUGGGAACCUGCCCUUAGGUUCGGAAUGACUCCCCGAAAGGGGUGCUAAUACCGGAUAAUGUCUUCGGACCAAAGAUUUAUCGCCUUUGGAUGGGCCCGCGUUGGAUUAGCUAGUUGGUAGGGUAAAAGCCUACCAAGGCGACGAUCCAUAGCUGGUCUGAGAGGAUGAUCAGCCACACUGGGACUGAGACACGGCCCAGACUCCUACGGGAGGCAGCAGUGGGGAAUAUUGGACAAUGGGCGAAAGCCUGAUCCAGCAAUGCCGCGUGAGUGAUGAAGGCCUUAGGGUUGUAAAGCUCUUUUACCCGGGAUGAUAAUGACAGUACCGGGAGAAUAAGCUCCGGCUAACUCCGUG
Molecule: ribosomal RNA, 432 nt
Filed under: uncultured bacterium
Lineage: Bacteria
Description: partial 16S ribosomal RNA
Rfam family: Bacterial small subunit ribosomal RNA
Source: RNAcentral